Molecule: long non-coding RNA, 5092 nt
Organism: Mytilus californianus (California mussel)
Lineage: Eukaryota; Metazoa; Mollusca; Bivalvia; Mytilida; Mytilidae
Exons: 3
Source: RefSeq, a predicted model, not a curated record
CAAGUUGGUCCAAAUUGGGGUCCAAAAUUAAACUUUGUUUGAUUUCAACAAAAAUUGAAUAUAUGGGGUUCUUUGAUAUGCUGAAUCUAACCAUGUAUUUAGAUUUUUGAUUAUGGGCCCAGUUUUCAAGUUGGUCCAAAUUGGGGUCCAAAAUUAAACUUUGUUUGAUUUCAACAAAAAUUGAAUAUAUGAGGUUCUUUGAUAUGCCGAAUCUAACAGUGUAUUUAGAUUUUUAAUUUUGGGUCCAGUUUUCAAAUUGGCCUACAUUAAGGUCCAAAGGGUCCAAAAUUCAACUUUGUUUGAUUUUAGCAAAAUUUGAAUAUAUGAGGUUCUUUGAUAUGCUGAAUCUAAACGUGUAUUUAGAUUUUUGAUUUUUAUACGACCGCAAAAAAAUUUUUGUGGUCGUAUAUUGGUAUGACGUUGGCGUCGUCGUCGUCGUCGUCGUCGUCGUCGUCGUCCGGCGUCGUCGUCGUCCGGCGUCGUCGUCCGAAUACACAUUAGUUUUCGCACUCUAACUUUAGUUUAAGUGAAUGGAUCUCAAUGAAAUUUUACCAUAAGGUUCAAUACCACAAAAGGAAGGUGGGGAUUGAUUUUGGGGGUUAUGGUACUAACAGUUAAGGAAUUAGGGGCCAAAAGGGGCCAAAAAUAAGCAUUUUUGUAACUUCCAGACAUAACUUGUGUGUAAGUGUAUGGAUCUCUCUGACAUUGUACCACAAGGUUCCAUAUCACAAAGGGAAUGCUGGGAUUGAUUUUGGGGGUAAUUGCCUCCAAAUUUUAGGAAUUGGGGGCCAAAAAGGGGCAAAAAACAAGCAUUUUUCUAGUUUCAUGACAAUAUCUUGUUUGUAAGUGUAUGGAUCUUUAUGAAAUUGUACUACAAGGUUCCAUAUCACAAAGGGAAUACUGGGAUUGAUUUUUGGGGUAAUUUCCUCCAAAUUUUAGGAAUUAGGGGCAAAAAAGGGGCAAAAAACAAGCAUUUUUCUAGUUUCAUGACAAUAACUUGUUUGUAAGUGUAUGGAUCUUUAUGAAAUUGUACUACAAGGUUCCAUAUCACAAAGGGAAGGCUGGGAUUGAUUUUGGGGGUUUUCCCUCAAAAUUUUAGUAAUUAGGGGCCAUAAAAGGGCAAAAAAAACAUGCAUUUUUCUAGUUUCAGGACAAUAACUUGUGUGUAAGUGUAUGGAUCUUUAUGAAAUUGUACUGCAAGGUUCCAUAUCACAAAGGGAAAGUUGGGUUUGAGUUUGGGGGUAAUUGCCCUAAACGUUUAGGAAUUUGGGGCCAAAAAGGGGCCAAAAACACAUUUUUUUCUAGUUUCCAGACAAUAACUUGUGUUCAAGUGUAUGGAUCUCUCUGAAAUUGUACUGCAAGGUACCAUACCACAAAGGGAAGGCUGGGAUUGAGUUUGGGGGUGAUGAAUCAUAAUGGGGGUUCAAAAAUUUGGGGGGGGGGAUUUAUUUUUUUUUCCUUUUUUUUCUUUUUUUCUUUUUUUGUUUCUUUUAAAAUUUUCCAUUUAAUUUGGUUAUUUCUGAUUUAUAUUUAAAAUCAAAUAAUAAUGAUAUGGUAGGAGAUACACACCAAACAGGAUGUGUAAAUUAUUAUAUAAUAAGUAUUGUGCAAUAGCAAGAAAUUUUCAAUUGCACAGUAUUGCACAAUAGCAAGAAAUCUUCAAUUGCACAGUAUUGCGCAAUAGCAAGAAAUCUUCAAUUGCACAGUAUUGCGCAAUAGCAAGAAAUAUCCAAUAGCACAAUAUUGCGCAAUAGCAAGAAAUUGUCAAUUGUACAGUAUUGCGCAAUAGCAAGAAAUAUUUAAUAGCACAGGAUUGUGCAAAAGAAGAUACUUCCUAUAAAUUGCUUAUUUCUUGACCAAUUUCAAUGGGGUUUUAUUCUUGAUUUCAUGGGGUUCUUUAAUAUGCUGAAUCUAACCGUGUAUUUAGUUUUUGGAUUUUGGGCCCCGUUUUUAAAUUGGUCCACAUUGAGGUCCAAAGGGUCCAAAAUUAAACUUUGUUUGAUUUCAUCAAAAAUUGAAUUAUUGGGGUUCUUUGAUAUGCCGAAUCAAACUGUGUAUUUAGAUUCUUAAAUUUUGGUUCCGUUUUCAAAUUGGUCUACAUUAAGGUCCAAAGGGUCCAAAAUUAAACUUAGUUUGAUUUUAACAUAAAUUGAAUUCUUAGAGUUCUUUGAUAUGCUGAAUCUAAACAUGUAUUUAGAUUUUUGAUAAUGGGCCCAGUUUUCAAGUUGGUCCAAAUCGGGGUCCAAAAUUAAACUUUGUUUGAUUUCAACAAAAAUUGAAUAUAUGGGGUUCUUUGAUAUGCUGAAUCUAACCAUGUAUUUAGAUUUUUGAUUUUUGGGCCCCGUUAUCAACUUUGUCCACAUUGAGGUCAAAAGGGUCCAAAAUUAAACUUUGUUUGAUUUCAUCAAAAAUUGAAUUAUUGGGGUUCUUUGAUAUGCCGAAUCUAACCGUGUAUUUAAAUUCUUAAUUUUUGGUUCCGUUUUCAAAUUGGUCUACAUUAAGGUCCAAAGGGUCCAAAAUUAAACUUAGUUUGAUUUUAACAAAAAUUGAAUUCUUAGGGUUCUUUGAUAUGCUGAAUCUAAACUUGUAUUUAGAUUUUUAUACGACCGCAAAAAUUGAAAAUUUUUUGGUCGUAUAUUGGUAUGACGUUGGCGUCGUCGUCGUCGUCGUCGUCGUCUGGCGUCGUCCGGCGUCGUCCGAAGACACAUUGGUUUUCGCACUCUAACUUUAGUUUAAGUGAAUGGAUCUCCAUGAAAUUUUACCAUAAGGUUCAAUACCACGAAAGGAAGGUGGGGAUUGAUUUUGGGGGUUAUGGUACCAACAGUUAAGGAAUUAGGGGCCAAAAAGGGGCCAAAAAUAAGCAUUUUUGUAACUUCCAGACAAUAACUUGUGUGUAAGUGUAUGGAUCUCUCUGACAUUGUACCACAAGGUUCCAUAUCACAAAGGGAAGGCUGUAAUUGAUUUUGGGGGUAAUUGCCUCAAAAUUUUAGGAAUUAGGGGCCAAAAAAGGGGCAAAAAACAAGCAUUUUUCUAGUUUCAUGACAAUAACUUGUGUGUAAGUGUUUGGAUAUUUCUGAAAUUGUACUACAAGGUUCCAUAUCACAAAGGGAAAGCUGGAAUUGAGUUUGGGGGUAAUUGCCCGAAACGUUUAGGAAUUGGGGGCCAAAAAGGGGCCAAAAAUAAGCAUUUUUCUAGUUUCCAGACAAUAACUUGUGUUCAAGUGUAUGGAUCUCUCUGAAAUUGUACUGCAAGGUACCAUACCACAAAGGGAAGGCUGGGAUUGAGUUUGGGGGUGAUGAAUCAUAAUGGGGGUUCAAAAAAUUUGGGGGGGGGGGAUUUAUUUUUUUUUCCUUUUUUUUCUUUUUUUCUUUUUUUGUUUCUUUUAAAAUUUUCCAUUUUAAUUUGGUUAUUUCUGAUUUAUAUUUAAAAUCAAAUAAUAAUGAUAUGGUAGGAGAUACACACCAAACAGGAUGUGUAAAUUAUUAUAUAAUAAGUAUUGUGCAAUAGCAAGAAAUUUUCAAUUGCACAGUAUUGCACAAUAGCAAGAAAUCUUCAAUUGCACAGUAUUGCGCAAUAGCAAGAAAUCUUCAAUUGCACAGUAUUGCGCAAUAGCAAGAAAUAUCCAAUAGCACAAUAUUGCGCAAUAGCAAGAAAUUGUCAAUUGUACAGUAUUGCGCAAUAGCAAGAAAUAUUUAAUAGCACAGGAUUGUGCAAAAGAAGAUACUUCCUAUAAAUUGCUUAUUUCUUGACCAAUUUCAAUGGGGUUUUAUUCUUGAUUUCAUGGGGUUCUUUAAUAUGCUGAAUCUAACCGUGUAUUUAGUUUUUGGAUUUUGGGCCCCGUUUUUAAAUUGGUCCACAUUGAGGUCCAAAGGGUCCAAAAUUAAACUUUGUUUGAUUUCAUCAAAAAUUGAAUUAUUGGGGUUCUUUGAUAUGCCGAAUCAAACUGUGUAUUUAGAUUCUUAAAUUUUGGUUCCGUUUUCAAAUUGGUCUACAUUAAGGUCCAAAGGGUCCAAAAUUAAACUUAGUUUGAUUUUAACAUAAAUUGAAUUCUUAGAGUUCUUUGAUAUGCUGAAUCUAAACAUGUAUUUAGAUUUUUGAUAAUGGGCCCAGUUUUCAAGUUGGUCCAAAUCGGGGUCCAAAAUUAAACUUUGUUUGAUUUCAACAAAAAUUGAAUAUAUGGGGUUCUUUGAUAUGCUGAAUCUAACCAUGUAUUUAGAUUUUUGAUUUUUGGGCCCCGUUAUCAACUUUGUCCACAUUGAGGUCAAAAGGGUCCAAAAUUAAACUUUGUUUGAUUUCAUCAAAAAUUGAAUUAUUGGGGUUCUUUGAUAUGCCGAAUCUAACCGUGUAUUUAAAUUCUUAAUUUUUGGUUCCGUUUUCAAAUUGGUCUACAUUAAGGUCCAAAGGGUCCAAAAUUAAACUUAGUUUGAUUUUAACAAAAAUUGAAUUCUUAGGGUUCUUUGAUAUGCUGAAUCUAAACAUGUAUUUAGAUUUUUGAUUAUGGGCCCAGUUUUCAAGUUGGUCCAAAUCGGGGUCCAAAAUUAAACUUUGUUUGAUUUCAACAAAAAUUGAAUAUAUGGGGUUCUUUGAUAUGCUGAAUCUAACCAUGUAUUUAGAUUUUUGAUUUUUGGGCCCCGUUAUCAACUUUGUCCACAUUGAGGUCAAAAGGGUCCAAAAUUAAACUUUGUUUGAUUUCAUCAAAAAUUGAAUUCUUGGGGUUCUUUGAUAUGCUGAAUCUAACCAUGUAUUUAGAUUUUGGAUAUUGGACCAUAAUAGGUGAAUGUCCAAUUUAAAAUUUUUAAGUUCUUAGACCACAUUCAAUCUGUGUUAGAAACCUAUGCUGUGUCAAAUAUUUAAUCACAAUCCAAAUCCAAAGCUGUAUCAAGCUUGAAUGUUGUGUCCAUACUUCCCCCAACUGUUCAGGGUUCGACCUCUGCGGUCGUAUCAAGCUGUGCCCUGCGGAGCAUUUUAUUUGUUAUUAUCUUAGAUAUCAUUAUAAUAUCUAAUAUCUAAUACUAUUAAUUAUGAUUUUAACCUUAUUUUACAUGAUUUCCAAAGCAUCAGUAAAUACAGGUGAGCGACACAGGCUCUUGAG